This 760-nucleotide long non-coding RNA is filed under the name Rattus norvegicus (Norway rat). RNAcentral describes it as "long non-coding RNA NONRATT020254". The record is from RNAcentral. Lineage: Eukaryota; Metazoa; Chordata; Mammalia; Rodentia; Muridae.
GAGAAGUGUUUGAAGAGUGUAGGAGUGGCAGCCCGAGGGUGAAAGAGACGCACAAGUGGAUCCUAAAGUCCUUCCCGGAGAGGGACUGCCCGGAGGGAAGGGACAGAGUGCACGGAGUCAGAGCGGGCGGCUGCCACCGUCGCCGCCACUCUGGGAGACCGCUGGACCUGGUCAGACUGACCGGACGUGAUGGGCCCGCGGCCCGAGCCUCGCUGACGGCCGGCGGUGGGAGGAAGGACUCGGAGCUGCCUGCAGGGUUGGGGUGAUGCAGAGAGGCAGGCAGUUUCCUGCACCCAGCACCUAAGUAGCCGGGGUCGGUGCACCCCGCGGGGACGGCGCGGGCUCCGAGCGUGGCCCAUGUCCGGCGCGGGUGAAGCCCUCCCUCCAGGGCCCGUGGGGCAGCAGUGCCCAGCCGAGGCGGGCGGUGGCCGGCUGGGCUCCCCAGCCCACGAGUGUAAUGAAGACACUACCGAGAAAGAAAAAAGACAAACUACCAGUAGCCACACUAGGUGUGGGCUGAUUCGGGACCAGUCCAUUUGGAGAAAUCCUUCAGAUGGCGAACUUGUCAGAACCCAACCUGAGCGUCUGCCUCAACUGCAGACAUCAGCACAGGAGCCCAGCAAGGAGGAAACCAGCAAGAUACAGAAUGGUGGCCACACAACUAUGAACAAUGGGAAUGGAAUUCCUCACAGAGCCAAACAUAUGUCUAUGGAUAAUCACAAAAUGUCAUCUCCUGUCUCUCAGAAAAUGCAUAGAAAAA